RNAcentral lists this ribosomal RNA (298 nucleotides) under uncultured Enterobacteriaceae bacterium. RNAcentral's name for it is "partial 16S ribosomal RNA". It matches the Rfam family "Bacterial small subunit ribosomal RNA", at positions 1086 to 1382 of the family's 1533-position model. Lineage: Bacteria; Pseudomonadati; Pseudomonadota; Gammaproteobacteria; Enterobacterales; Enterobacteriaceae. The record is from RNAcentral.
CCCGCAACGAGCGCAACCCUUAUCCUUUGUUGCCAGCGGUCCGGCCGGGAACGUCAAAGGAGACUGCCAGUGAUAAACUGGAGGAAGGUGGGGAUGACGUCAAGUCAUCAUGGCCCUUACGACCAGGGCUACACACGUGCUACAAUGGCGCAUACAAAGAGAAGCGACCCCGCGAGAGCAAGCGGACCUCAUAAAGUGCGUCGUAGUCCGGAUUGGAGUCUGCAACUCGACUCCAUGAAGUCGGAAUCGCUAGUAAUCGUGGAUCAGAAUGCCACGGUCGAAUACGUUCCCGGGCCUU